AGUCGUACGCUUCUUUUUCCACCGGAGCUUGCUCCACCGGAAAAAGAAGAGUGGCGAACGGGUGAGUAACACGUGGGUAACCUGCCCAUCAGAAGGGGAUAACACUUGGAAACAGGUGCUAAUACCGUAUAACAAUCGAAACCGCAUGGUUUUGAUUUGAAAGGCGCUUUCGGGUGUCGCUGAUGGAUGGACCCGCGGUGCAUUAGCUAGUUGGUGAGGUAACGGCUCACCAAGGCCACGAUGCAUAGCCGACCUGAGAGGGUGAUCGGCCACAUUGGGACUGAGACACGGCCCAAACUCCUACGGGAGGCAGCAGUAGGGAAUCUUCGGCAAUGGACGAAAGUCUGACCGAGCAACGCCGCGUGAGUGAAGAAGAUUUUCGGAUCGUAAAACUCUGUUGUUAGAGAAGAACAAGGAUGAGAGUAACUGUUCAUCCCUUGACGGUAUCUAACCAGAAAGCCACGGCUAACUACGUGCCAGCAGCCGCGGUAAUACGUAGGUGGCAAGCGUUGUCCGGAUUUAUUGGGCGUAAAGCGAGCGCAGGCGGUUUCUUAAGUCUGAUGUGAAAGCCCCCGGCUCAACCGGGGAGGGUCAUUGGAAACUGGGAGACUUGAGUGCAGAAGAGGAGAGUGGAAUUCCAUGUGUAGCGGUGAAAUGCGUAGAUAUAUGGAGGAACACCAGUGGCGAAGGCGGCUCUCUGGUCUGUAACUGACGCUGAGGCUCGAAAGCGUGGGGAGCAAACAGGAUUAGAUAC
This 754-nucleotide ribosomal RNA is filed under the name uncultured bacterium. RNAcentral describes it as "bacterial SSU rRNA". It matches the Rfam family "Bacterial small subunit ribosomal RNA", at positions 60 to 785 of the family's 1533-position model. The record is from RNAcentral.